Molecule: long non-coding RNA, 213 nt
Filed under: Hordeum vulgare
Lineage: Eukaryota; Viridiplantae; Streptophyta; Magnoliopsida; Poales; Poaceae
Description: long non-coding RNA (HVUL_LNC014945)
Source: RNAcentral
CACAAUAGCAGUAGCAUUUUCUUGAUUCCAACCGAAGCAUCGCCCGGCGAGAGAUGGAUGGACAUGGACACCGGCCGGCCGCACGCUGGUGCGUUCGCUUGCCACGGACGGACGGGGGCCCAUCCGUCUAUUUGGUUAACGAUGUACCACACCACCUGACGGCGACGCCGCAACGGCAGGCCGGGCUCACCUACAACAGAAAGAGCCACACAC